Molecule: non-coding RNA, 92 nt
Organism: Mycena latifolia
Lineage: Eukaryota; Fungi; Basidiomycota; Agaricomycetes; Agaricales; Mycenaceae
Source: the annotation of a GenBank genome assembly
GGCCUGUUGGUGUAAUGGUAGCGCACCUGCAAUACUUUAUGCAUACAGAAAAUAUUUGGCGGGAGAUCCUUGUUCGACUCAAAGUCAGGCCG